GUCUACGGCCACACUACUCUGAAUGCUCCAGAUUUCAUCUGAUCUCAGAAGCUAAGCAGGGUUGGGCCUGGUUAGUACUUGGGUGGCAAGAAGGGCUUUCAUUCAUC
This 107-nucleotide ribosomal RNA is filed under the name Cavia porcellus (domestic guinea pig). Lineage: Eukaryota; Metazoa; Chordata; Mammalia; Rodentia; Caviidae. The record is from RNAcentral.